CCCCCCGACCCGUCUUGAAACACGGACCAAGGAGUAUAACAUGUGCGGGAGUCAAUGGGUCUUGAACAGGCCCAGAGGCGCAAUGAAAGUAAAGGUACGGCACCCGCCUACCGAGUCGGGAUCCAGGUUUCAAUGCCAGGCGCACCGACGGCCCGCCCCGUGCCGUUUACGGCUGGGGCGGAGCAUGAGCGCACACGUUGGGACCCGAAAGAUGGUGAACUAUGCCCGGACAGGACGAGGCCAGAGGAAACUCUGGUGGA
Molecule: ribosomal RNA, 260 nt
Filed under: Pardosa lugubris
Lineage: Eukaryota; Metazoa; Arthropoda; Arachnida; Araneae; Lycosidae
Description: partial 28S ribosomal RNA
Rfam family: Eukaryotic large subunit ribosomal RNA
Source: RNAcentral